UGGAUAUACAUGAUCUCUCUUUUCGACCAUGGUUCGCUCCUGGCAUUCCUUAAAAUGAAACCGAGAAUAACACCGGCUAUAACUCCAAGUACUAUGUUUGUGGAAGACAAUGAUAAGGUUGACGCGUGGGAGUGAAAGUGUGGAUAAGUUGGAAAUAUCGUGAAAGGGAUUACAACGAUCCGAGUGUCUGCGGAAAUUUUGAAAUGACUAGCCCAGCUUUUCACACGGAUACACCCGCCGAAAAGGGAAAAGGGAGUAGAAAGGUGAAAUGUAAGAUGUGAUUCGAAAUCAACGUUGAACCAGCAACCAAGCACGAUGGGAAAGUUCGAUUUAUAAGCGCCUAUGCGCGAGAGCAAAUGAAAUCGCAGAAGGAGAGGCAACACGUGCAAUUCUUGUUCGGAUUAGCACAAGAGAAAAAGUGGUUACAUGAUAAGGAACGCGCGGUAUUUAAAAAAUUUCAAAUGAAUUCGAAUUUUUAUUCGUUCAUUAACAAUGAACAAUCGGUAACAAUGAACUACUGUGUAAAGUAUAGUUGAAUGUGUGAGAUAUAGAUAAAGCUGAGCAAUACAUAGAUAAAAUUAUGAAAUGUUUCUAUAAAAAACGAUCCUACGUAGGCGGAACAUCAGUCUUUGAAAUGUUAUCAAUUAUAUUGACUAAAAUCUGUAUUGCUAUGUCAAUACAGUGACAAGCUAUUAAAAGUUUUCCUUGAAGCAAAAAUUGAUUCUGAGAAAAACAUCUCGUCAGCCGUAAUUCUGUCCGAAAUUUUGUUUUUCAUGCACGUGGAUCAUUGUAAGCGUCAGAUACACGGCAAGUUAAAACGUUCAACCCUCUUUACUACCACUACCAUAGUAGAUACAUGUAUCAACACACAGUAAAAAAAUCUCGUCAUAGUUAUCAGCAGAACAAAGGAGAUGAAUGCAAUAAUGUAUGAUUUUAUUUAAUCUUCGACUACCGUCAUUGCUUUAAGAUGUUUUGUUCCUCACAAUUACUGCAAUUUGAUCAAAUUUUCUUUCAAAUUAUUGUAUUACCGAAUGCUUUAUUAUUAUCCACACAUUCAAUUUGAAAUACUUUCAUUAGAAUAUUUAUGAAAGGUGACUCGCACUUAUUAGUUGAGAAAUUUAAACAAAUG
Osmia bicornis bicornis is the source of this 1129-nucleotide long non-coding RNA. RefSeq lists it as uncharacterized. The record is from RefSeq and is a predicted model, not a curated record. NCBI's taxonomy places the organism in Eukaryota, Metazoa, Arthropoda, Insecta, Hymenoptera, Megachilidae. The transcript has 3 exons.